GAUUUUUAUUGUCAUUAAUUUAUAAUUGUAAUAUUACCGUACAUAACACAUAAACCCAUUGCCAUUUGCAAACAAACAGAGACAACUGAAAAAUAACUUGCAAAAACUCUUUUAGUGAGAGAGGCUAGGACGAACACAGGUCCUUAAUCCAUCGAAUCGUCAUAAUCGUUAAUGUCUGAUCCAUCAGAGACCAUCAAAAGCUGGACCUAGCCAGAUCCGAUUCAGAUUUGGAACCGGACCAGUCUAACCCAGAUUCAAAAUUGGACCACAACCACCCUGACUUGAAUCUGACCAAAACCGUUUAGUCCAAU
This 311-nucleotide unclassified non-coding RNA is filed under the name Hevea brasiliensis (rubber tree). Lineage: Eukaryota; Viridiplantae; Streptophyta; Magnoliopsida; Malpighiales; Euphorbiaceae. The record is from RNAcentral.